CCUACGGGAGGCAGCAGUGGGGAAUAUUGCACAAUGGGCGCAAGCCUGAUGCAGCCAUGCCGCGUGUGUGAAGAAGGCCUUCGGGUUGUAAAGCACUUUCAGCGGGGAGGAAGGCGGUGAGGUUAAUAACCUCAUCGAUUGACGUUACCCGCAGAAGAAGCACCGGCUAACUCCGUGCCAGCAGCCGCGGUAAUACGGAGGGUGCAAGCGUUAAUCGGAAUUACUGGGCGUAAAGCGCACGCAGGCGGUCUGUCAAGUCGGAUGUGAAAUCCCCGGGCUCAACCUGGGAACUGCAUUCGAAACUGGCAGGCUAGAGUCUUGUAGAGGGGGGUAGAAUUCCAGGUGUAGCGGGGAAAUGCGUAGAGAUCUGGAGGAAUACCGGUGGCGAAGGCGGCCCCCUGGACAAAGACUGACGCUCAGGUGCGAAAGCGUGGGGAGCAAACAGGAUUAGAUACCCUUGUAGUC
Molecule: ribosomal RNA, 465 nt
Filed under: uncultured Klebsiella sp.
Lineage: Bacteria; Pseudomonadati; Pseudomonadota; Gammaproteobacteria; Enterobacterales; Enterobacteriaceae
Description: bacterial SSU rRNA
Rfam family: Bacterial small subunit ribosomal RNA
Source: RNAcentral